GUCAGGAAUGGUAAAGCCCCUUUUAUAUAUCGAGAGGGCUGAGCCUACUGAUUUUUGUUAAGGUUUCACAUUACUGCAUACAGUAAAUGGUCCUACUUGAGAUACUAGAGCAGCUCCCAGGUAAAGCAGGCAGACAGCACUCAGCCUAAAAAAGGAUCUUAUUCGUGAGAGUAUCAAAUUGCAAAAUAUGAAAGUAGAGGCUGCUGCCGAACUUACAAGAGAAAAGCAGAAAGAAUUCAAGUUAAUAAGCAGGUGGGAAAGAAAAUGUAGCUGAAGGGCAAGAGGAAAAAGAAGCCUCAAGCCUCAAACCAGAGGGUUCUCUGCUUGGGAUCUGACCCUCUGGAAAAUACCAUCUCACAAUGUCAAAAAAGGUUACUGGCAGCCGAGCUAAGGGAGAAAAACCUGAUGCACUGGCUGCUUUGCAAGCUGCCAAUGAAGAGCUCAGGGCCAAACUCACUGACAUUCAAAUUGAACUUCAGCUAGAAAAGACUAAGGUAAGCAAGUUAGAGAGAGAAAAAAAUCACGAAUUGAAGCAUGAACAAUACAAGUCAACUGUAGUUUUGACAGAACUUAAAACUAAACUUCAUGAAGAGAAAAUGAAAGAAUUGCAUUCAGUUCGGGAGAACAUGCUCCGGCAACAUGAGUCUGAGCUUCUGCGGGUCAUCAAAAUUAAAGAUAAUGAGAUCCAGAGGCUGCAGGCCCUCGUGAAUGCCUUGCGAGAUGGAACUACAGACAAGGUGAAAACCAUUCUCUUCUCUGAAGCCAAGGAAGAAGCGAAAAAGGUGUUUGAGUUUGAAAAGGUUAGAAUGCAGCAGGAGAUUUAUGAGCUGAAGGGAGUAAAGAGACAAAUGGAAGAAGCUUUAACUUUGGCAAUACAGGCGGACAAAAUUAAAGCUGCAGAGAUCAGGAGUGUCUAUCACCUGCAUCAAGAAGAAAUCAACAGAAUCAAAAGGGAAUGUGAAAGAGAGAUUCGUAGAUUGAUGGAUGAGAUUAAAUUAAAAGACAGAACAAUCUGCACACUGGAAAGAGAGUUGGGAGUCCAGGCAGGGCAAGCUGAAAGACUCCAGCUCCAAAAAGAUGCUUUAGAUGAACAACUUGUCCAAUUCAAAGAGGCUGAGCGACAUCUGGGUAGCCCAAAACGGGAGCUUCCAUUUGCAAGUGGUGCAGGAGAUGCUUCAGAUCAUUCAGGAAGCCCUGAACAGCAGUUGGAUGAAAAAGAUGCCCGCCGCUUCCAUCUUAAAAUUGCUGAAAUGAGUGCAAUUAUUAGAAAAUUAGAAGACCGUAAUGCUCUCCUAUCCGAAGAAAGAAAUGAACUGCUCAAACGUCUUCGUGAAGCUGAGAGUCAGUAUAAACCCCUAUUGGAUAAAAACAGGCGACUCAGCAGAAAGAAUGAAGAACUGAAUCACUCUCUACGUCGAAUGGAUAACAAACUGAAAUUUGUCACCCAGGAAAAUUUGGAAAUGAGGGAAAGAGUUGGAACAAUUAGACGCCCCAGCUCCUUAAAUGACCUCGAUCAAAGUCAAGAAGAAAGGGAGAUAGAAUUUCUGAGGCUACAAGUUAUUGAACAGCAAAAUAUUAUUGAUGAUCUUUCAAAGGCUUUGGAGACCGCCGGAUAUGUAAAGAGUGUCAUAGAAAGAGACAAACUUUUAAGAUACAGAAUACAGAGAAAAAAAAUAGUAAAGCCCUGUAAGAAGCCAGUGGUGGAAACAUUUUUUGGAUAUGAUGAAGAAGCCUCACUGGAUUCAGAUGGCUCUUCAAUAUCAUAUCAAACAGACAGAACUCCUUGCACCCCUGAUGAUGAUCUGGAAGAUGGGUUAGCCAAAGAAGAAACUGAACUACGCUUUCGUCAAUUGACUAUGGAGUACCAGGCUCUUCAGCGUGCCUAUGCACUAUUACAAGAACAAGUUGGAGGAACACUGGAUGCUGAAAGAGAAGUUAAGACUCGUGAACAACUACAGGCAGAAAUUAGUCGGUACCAAACAAGGAUAGAAGAUCUGGAAAAAACAUUGGAACAGCAGGGGCAGGAUAUGAAAUGGAUUGAAGAAAAGCAGGCACUCUAUCGAAGAAACCAAGAACUUGUGGAUAAGAUUAAGCAAAUGGAGUCAGAAGAAAGCAAGUUAAAACAUGACAUCCAAGAUGUUAAAGACCAAAAUGAGCUGUUAGAAUUUCGCAUCCUGGAACUUGAGGAGCGAGAAAGAAGAUCUCCUGCAAUUAAUUUUCAAAACAUUCCAUUCAUAGAGGGUACAAGUCCACUCCAAGUGUAUUGUGAAGCAGAAGGUGUCACGGAUAUUAUCAUAUCAGAUCUUAUGAAACAAUUGGACAUUUUAGGCGAUAACGGCGUAAGUAACUUGACAAAUGAUGAACAAGUUGUUGUUAUACAAGCAAGAACUAUUCUGGCUUUAGCAGAAAAAUGGCUCCAACAAAUAGAAGUCACAAAAUCUGCUUUACAGCAAAAAAUGCUUGACCUAGAAAAUGAAAAGGAUCUCUUCAGUAAACAGAAAGGUUAUCUGGAAGAGGAACUGGACUACAGAAAGCAGUCUAUGGAUCAGGCACACAAGAGGAUUCUUGAAUUGGAGGCUAUGCUGUUUGAUGCCCUACAGCAAGAAGCAGGUGCAAAAAUGUCAGAGAUUUUGUCUGAGGAGGAAAGGGAAACAUUAAAAAGUGCAGUGGAGCAGUGGAAACGGCAAGUCAUGAGUGAGCUAAGGGAACGUGAUGCACAGAUACUGAGGGAACGGAUGGAGUUGGUUCAUCAUGCACAACAGAGAAUUAAAGAGCUAGAAGAAAAAAUAGAAGCUCAAAAACGGCAAAUAAAAGAACUGGAGGAGAAGGGUUGUUGGAGUCCAGAACCUACUCUGGCUGUAUCAGGUGAAAGGCAAGAACAAACCUUGGAUAGGAUACCAGUCUGUUGCAGGGCUUGUACUGAAUACUGUGAAGCUUUUAACUGCCCACUAGGACGAAAUUGUAAAGCUGAAGCUACGAUAACUAGAACCAACUCUGUGUUUAUCUUUUUGGAAAGAAAUGCUAAAGUUGUAUUCUGAAUACCGCUACACCAAUUACUUAAUGAAAAAUAACAAUCCUGGCAGGACUUGUAUCUGAUGAUGAUUUUUCAAGGCAAUGUGAUUUUUUGGAUAACACAUCUAAAGAUGAGAGAUUGAAUAAAUUUAAGUGUGUAGAACCAAUGAUAUAUACAUACAUUUUCCCUGCUGAGCAGGUUGUAUUAUGAACUGCUUCUUUUUUAGGAGCAUGAAUGAAAAAGAGAAAAAAGGCAAUGGUGACUUUUUCUUUGGGUCUGUUUUAUUUAUUUUUUUACCUUAUGGUAUUCAUGUAUUUCAUAAUAAAGAGAACCCUUAUUUAUAUUAGCUAGACUUAUGUUAUGAAAAAGACUAUGAGAAACAAGUCAUUUCAAGACAUUUAUAAAGCAUGCUGCUUAAAAAAAAAAUCCCAGGAAGAACUUUUAUCAUGGAAAGAAUAAUUUUUUUUAGGAAACACGUUCUUACGAAGAUGUUUACCUCAAUCAAGUGGUGCUUUGACCCAACAGAAAAAGAACGCAACAUGUUAUAUUAUCCCUCAAUUACAGCAGAUCCACAGAAUCAACAUUUUAUUAAGUAUACUAUUUUUUGCCUAUUAAGCAAUGGGAUCAUGGGAUAAUGAGAGUCUAUUACCAAUGCAGGAAUAACAGCUGAUGAAGUAAAGAGGAAGCAGUCAAAACUCAUGCUGUAUCUGGACUCUCUGAGUAACAAGACCAAAUAAUGGACACAAAACUUAGAAAAGAGAAUCUGGUGAAGAACAACAAAAACAAUUGACUGUCAAAUACUUCAUUAGACAGGGAUAAUCUCUGGAUAUUGAUUGCAUAUACUUACUGUGUAACAGGAACAUCAUUAUAGG
Molecule: RNA transcript, 3885 nt
Organism: Polypterus senegalus (gray bichir)
Lineage: Eukaryota; Metazoa; Chordata; Cladistia; Polypteriformes; Polypteridae
Gene: jakmip3
Gene name: Janus kinase and microtubule interacting protein 3
Exons: 24
Source: RefSeq, a predicted model, not a curated record